AGCAUACGCAAUCUUCUCAUUAUAUUUGUAUUCAAAAAAAAAAACAAAAAAAAAAAUUCACAAUAACUAUUCAAUUCAAAACAUCAAUAUUAUGAUUUGAAUUCUCCAAACAUAAACAGUAGAUAAAAUUUAACAUAAAGCAACAAAUCAAUGAAUGAACAACAAAUCAGCCAAGUUUGUAUGAGGGGUUAGCAAUGUUGACUGAACAGUAUUUUUAUCAGAUACCAACCAUUCCCAUUACUUCUUAUCACUUCAUCACCUUCUUCUAAUAAGAAAAAAAAAAACUAUGGGAAUGGAGAAAAAACUAAAGGAAUGGGUGGUAUCGGAAAAAAUAGUGUAAAAACUAUGGGAAUGGGUGGUAUCGGAAAAAAUAGUGUUCAGUCGUAGAGAACUAGA
RNAcentral lists this long non-coding RNA (396 nucleotides) under Aquilegia coerulea. Its description in RNAcentral is "long non-coding RNA (ACOE_LNC002087)". The record is from RNAcentral. Lineage: Eukaryota; Viridiplantae; Streptophyta; Magnoliopsida; Ranunculales; Ranunculaceae.